RNAcentral lists this ribosomal RNA (495 nucleotides) under uncultured bacterium. RNAcentral describes it as "partial 16S ribosomal RNA". It matches the Rfam family "Bacterial small subunit ribosomal RNA", at positions 28 to 507 of the family's 1533-position model. The record is from RNAcentral.
GACGAACGCUGGCGGCGUGCCUAAUACAUGCAAGUAGAACGCUGAAGGAGGAGCUUGCUUCUCUGGAUGAGUUGCGAACGGGUGAGUAACGCGUAGGUAACCUGCAUGGUAGCGGGGGAUAACUAUUGGAAACGCUAGCUAAUAUCGCAUAAGAGUAGAUGUUGCAUGAUAUUUGCUUAAAAGGUGCAAUUGCAUCACUACCAGAUGGACUUGCGUUGUAUUAGUUAGUUGGUGAGGUAACGGCUCACCAAGGCAACGAUACAUAGCCGACCUGAGAGGGUGAUCGGCCACACUGGGACUGAGACACGGCCCAGACUCCUACGGGAGGCAGCAGUAGGGAAUCUUCGGCAAUGGACGGAAGUCUGACCGAGCAACGCCGCGGGAGUGAAGAAGGUUUUCGGAUCGUAAAGCUCUGUUGUAAGAGAAGAACGAGUGUGAGAGUGGAAAGUUCACACUGUGACGGUAUCUUACCAGAAAGGGACGGCUAACUACGUG